AACGAACGCUGGCGGCAGGCCUAACACAUGCAAGUCGAACGCCGUAGCAAUACGGAGUGGCAGACGGGUGAGUAACGCGUGGGAACAUACCCUCCGGUUCGGAAUAACUCAGGGAAACUUGAGCUAAUACCGGAUACGUCCAAGGUUUUAAUCGGCCUUGGAGAAAGAUUUAUCGCCGGAGGAUUGGCCCGCGUCUGAUUAGCUUGUUGGUGAGGUAAUGGCUCACCAAGGCGACGAUCAGUAGCUGGUCUGAGAGGAUGAUCAGCCACAUUGGGACUGAGACACGGCCCAAACUCCUACGGGAGGCAGCAGUGGGGAAUAUUGGACAAUGGGGGCGAACCCUGAUCCAGCAAUGCCGCGUGAGUGAUGAAGGCCUUAGGGUUGU
Molecule: ribosomal RNA, 385 nt
Filed under: uncultured bacterium
Lineage: Bacteria
Description: bacterial SSU rRNA
Rfam family: Bacterial small subunit ribosomal RNA
Source: RNAcentral